RNAcentral lists this ribosomal RNA (433 nucleotides) under uncultured bacterium. Its description in RNAcentral is "partial 16S ribosomal RNA". It matches the Rfam family "Bacterial small subunit ribosomal RNA", at positions 29 to 507 of the family's 1533-position model. The record is from RNAcentral.
AGCGAACGCUGGCGGCAGGCUUAACACAUGCAAGUCGAGCGGGCCCUUCGGGGUCAGCGGCAGAUGGGUGAGUAACACGUGGGAACGUACCCUUUGGUUCGGAAUAACGCUGGGAAACUAGCGCUAAUACCGGAUACGCCCUUUUGGGGAAAGGCUUGCUGCCGAAGGAUCGGCCCGCGUCUGAUUAGCUAGUUGGUGGGGUAAUGGCCUACCAAGGCGACGAUCAGUAGCUGGUCUGAGAGGAUGAUCAGCCACACUGGGACUGAGACACGGCCCAGACUCCUACGGGAGGCAGCAGUGGGGAAUAUUGGACAAUGGGCGCAAGCCUGAUCCAGCCAUGCCGCGUGAGUGAUGAAGGCCUUAGGGUUGUAAAGCUCUUUUGUCCGGGACGAUAAUGACGGUACCGGAAGAAUAAGCCCCGGCUAACUUCGUG